This 119-nucleotide unclassified non-coding RNA is filed under the name Nitrospira japonica. RNAcentral's name for it is "PyrR". The record is from RNAcentral. Lineage: Bacteria; Pseudomonadati; Nitrospirota; Nitrospiria; Nitrospirales; Nitrospiraceae.
GAAACCUUUAAUGCUCAUCCUGCGAGGUGAGCAAGGAGCAGGACAUGAACCAAGCCCCGGCUCGUGCCGGUCGAAACUUCGAGGCCUUCUCGCCACGUUCUGGCGGGGAGGUUUUUUUA